GUGAGGAAUAUUGGUCAAUGGGCGGGAGCCUGAACCAGCCAAGUCGCGUGAAGGAAGAAGGAUCUAUGGUUCGUAAACUUCUUUUGCAGGGGAAUAAAGUGCAGGACGUGUCCUGUUUUGUAUGUACCCUGAGAAUAAGGAUCGGCUAACUCCGUGCCAGCAGCCGCGGUAAUACGGAGGAUCCGAGCGUUAUCCGGAUUUAUUGGGUUUAAAGGGUGCGUAGGUGGUUUGAUAAGUCAGCGGUGAAAGUUUGCAGCUUAACUGUAAAAAUGCCGUUGAAACUGUCGGACUUGAGUGUAAAUGAGGUAGGCGGAAUGCGUGGUGUAGCGGUGAAAUGCAUAGAUAUCACGCAGAACUCCGAUUGCGAAGGCAGCUUACUAAGCUACAACUGACACUGAAGCACGAAAGCGUGGGGAUCAAACAGGAUUAGAUACCCCUGGUAGUCC
RNAcentral lists this ribosomal RNA (446 nucleotides) under uncultured bacterium. RNAcentral's name for it is "partial 16S ribosomal RNA". It matches the Rfam family "Bacterial small subunit ribosomal RNA", at positions 354 to 796 of the family's 1533-position model. The record is from RNAcentral.